This 407-nucleotide ribosomal RNA is filed under the name uncultured bacterium. RNAcentral describes it as "bacterial SSU rRNA". It matches the Rfam family "Bacterial small subunit ribosomal RNA", at positions 8 to 429 of the family's 1533-position model. The record is from RNAcentral.
AGAGUUUGAUCCUGGCUCAGAAUCAACGCUGGCGGCGCGCUUAACACAUGCAAGUCGCACGAGAAAGUGGAGCAAUCCAUGAGUACAGUGGCGUACGGGUGAGUAACACGUGGAUCAUCUACCUCUUGAUGGGGAAUAACCCUGGGAAACCGGGGCUAAUACCGCAUAAGCCUGAAAAGGGAAAGCAGCAAUGCGUCGAGAGAGGAGUCCGCGGCCGAUUAGCUAGUUGGUAGGGUAAAGGCCUACCAAGGCAAUGAUCGGUAGCCGGCCUGAGAGGGCACACGGCCACACUGGCACUGAAACACGGGCCAGACUCCUACGGGAGGCAGCAGUGGGGAAUCUUGCACAAUGGAGGAAACUCUGAUGCAGCGACGCCGCGUGAGUGAUGAAGCCCUUCGGGGUGGGGA